UCAGGACGAACGCUGGCGGCGUGCCUAAUACAUGCAAGUCGAACGGUCUUUCUAUGGAAGCUUGCUUCCACUGAGAAGAUAGUGGCGAACGGGUGAGUAACACGUGGGUAACCUGCCCAUAAGAGGGGGGAUAACAUCCGGAAACGGGUGCUAAUACCGCAUAGUUUUCUUGAUCGCAUGAUCGGGAAAGGAAAGACGGCCUUUGUGCUGUCGCUUAUGGAUGGACCCGCGGCGUAUUAGUUAGUUGGUGAGGUAACGGCUCACCAAGACGAUGAUACGUAGCCGACCUGAGAGGGUGAUCGGCCACAUUGGGACUGAGACACGGCCCAAACUCCUACGGGAGGCAGCAGUAGGGAAUCUUCCGCAAUGGACGAAAGUCUGACGGAGCAACGCCGCGUGAGUGAAAGAAGGUUUUCGGAUCGUAAAACUCUGUUGUCAGAGAAGAACAAGUUGGAGAGUAACUGCUCCAGCCUUGACGGUAUCUGACCAGAAAGCCACGGCUAACUACGUGCCAGCCGCCGC
RNAcentral lists this ribosomal RNA (522 nucleotides) under uncultured bacterium. Its description in RNAcentral is "bacterial SSU rRNA". It matches the Rfam family "Bacterial small subunit ribosomal RNA", at positions 24 to 518 of the family's 1533-position model. The record is from RNAcentral.